RNAcentral lists this ribosomal RNA (340 nucleotides) under uncultured Cellulomonas sp. Its description in RNAcentral is "bacterial SSU rRNA". It matches the Rfam family "Bacterial small subunit ribosomal RNA", at positions 1042 to 1382 of the family's 1533-position model. Lineage: Bacteria; Bacillati; Actinomycetota; Actinomycetes; Micrococcales; Cellulomonadaceae. The record is from RNAcentral.
UGCAUGGUUGUCGUCAGCUCGUGUCGUGAGAUGUUGGGUUAAGUCCCGCAACGAGCGCAACCCUCGUCCUAUGUUGCCAGCGGGUCAUGCCGGGACUCAUGGGAGACUGCCGGGGUCAACUCGGAGGAAGGUGGGGAUGACGUCAAAUCAUCAUGCCCCUUAUGUCUUGGGCUUCACGCAUGCUACAAUGGCCGGUACAAAGGGCUGCGAUACCGCGAGGUGGAGCGAAUCCCAGAAAGCCGGUCUCAGUUCGGAUUGGGGUCUGCAACUCGACCCCAUGAAGUCGGAGUCGCUAGUAAUCGCAGAUCAGCAUGCCGCGGUGAAUACGUUCCCGGGCCUU